RNAcentral lists this unclassified non-coding RNA (354 nucleotides) under soil metagenome. RNAcentral's name for it is "partial contains 5.8S ribosomal RNA, internal transcribed spacer 2, and large subunit ribosomal RNA". The stretch from base 1 to 120 matches the Rfam family "5.8S ribosomal RNA", at positions 35 to 154 of the family's 154-position model. The record is from RNAcentral.
GAUGAAGAACGCAGCGAAAUGCGAUAAGUAUUGUGAAUUGCAGAAUCCAGUGAAUCAUCGAAUCUUUGAACGCACAUUGCGCCCGCCGGUAUUCCGGCGGGCAUGCCUGUUCGAGCGUCAUUUCGACCCUCACCCUCCCCUAAAAGGCGGGUAGCGUUGGGGCGUCCGCGUCACUGCGGAGGCCCUUAAGUCUAUAGGCGGUCCCGUCGGGUCCCCGAGCGCAGUAGAGCCACUAUCGUUCGGCGGUCGCGGCGGUGUUCUUGCCCCUAAGCACCCCAUUUUUUUUUUUUAAAAGGUUGACCUCGGAUCAGGUAGGAAUACCCGCUGAACUUAAGCAUAUCAAUAAGCGGAGGA